CCUACGGGGGGCAGCAGUGAGGAAUAUUGGUCAAUGGGCUUACGCCUGAACCAGCCAAGUCGCGUGAGGGAAGACUGCCCUAUGGGUUGUAAACCUCUUUUGUCAGGGAGCAAUUGGCGCUACGUGUAGCGUUAUCGAGAGUACCUGAAGAAAAAGCAUCGGCUAACUCCGUGCAAGCAGCCGCGGUAAUACGGAGGAUGCGAGCGUUAUCCGGAUUUAUUGGGUUUAAAGGGUGCGUAGGCGGAAUGCGAAGUCAGCGGUAAAAUCGCGGGGCUCAACCUCGCUCCGCCGUUGAUACUGGCGUUCUGGAGUGGGCGAGAAGUAUGCGGAAUGAGUGGUGUAGCGGUGAAAUGCAUAGAUAUCACGCAGAACUCCGAUUGCGAAGGCAGCAUACCGGCGCCCAACUGACGCUGAAGCACGAAAGCGUGGGUAUCGAACAGGAUUAGAUACCCCGGUAGUC
RNAcentral lists this ribosomal RNA (460 nucleotides) under uncultured bacterium. RNAcentral's name for it is "partial 16S ribosomal RNA". It matches the Rfam family "Bacterial small subunit ribosomal RNA", at positions 338 to 795 of the family's 1533-position model. The record is from RNAcentral.